RNAcentral lists this transfer RNA (85 nucleotides) under Felis catus (domestic cat). It matches the Rfam family "tRNA". From Rfam's summary of the family: Transfer RNA (tRNA) molecules are approximately 80 nucleotides in length. Their secondary structure includes four short double-helical elements and three loops (D, anti-codon, and T loops). Lineage: Eukaryota; Metazoa; Chordata; Mammalia; Carnivora; Felidae. The record is from Rfam by way of RNAcentral.
GCCUGGGUGGCUCAGUCGGUUGAGCGUCCGACUUCAGCUCAGGUCACGAUCUCACAGUUCGUGAGUUCGAGCCCCACAUCAGGCU